GAAUUGGUGGUUCAGUGGUAGAAUUCUCAGUUUCCAUGUGGGAGAACUGGGUUUGAUUCUUGGCCAAUGUA
RNAcentral lists this transfer RNA (71 nucleotides) under Loxodonta africana (African savanna elephant). It matches the Rfam family "tRNA". Rfam says of the family: Transfer RNA (tRNA) molecules are approximately 80 nucleotides in length. Lineage: Eukaryota; Metazoa; Chordata; Mammalia; Proboscidea; Elephantidae. The record is from Rfam by way of RNAcentral.